GACGAACGCUGGCGGCGUGCCUAACACAUGCCAGUCGAACGGAAAGGCCCUGAUUUCGUGCGGUGCCCGAGUGCCGAACGGGUGCGUAACACGUGAGUAUCCUGCCCUAGAUUUUGGGAUAACUUCAGGAAACUGGGGCUACUCUAGGAUCGGAGCCCACCUACCAUGGUGGGGGGUGGAACGUCUCGGCGGUCGGGGAUGGACUCGCGGCUUUCCAGCUUGUUGGUGGGGUAGUGGCAUGCCAAGGCUUUGACCGAUAACCGACAUGUGAGGGUGACCGGCCACAUGGGGACUGAGAGACGGCCCAGUCUGCUACGUGAGACAACAGUGGGGAAUAUUACACAGUGAGCGGAAGCCUGAUGCAGCAGCGCCGCGUGCGGAAUGACGGCCUUCGGGGUAUGAACCGCUUUCGCCUGAUACGAAGCGUGAGUGACGGUAAUGGGUAAAGAAGCACCGGCUAACUACGUG
Molecule: ribosomal RNA, 468 nt
Filed under: uncultured bacterium
Lineage: Bacteria
Description: partial 16S ribosomal RNA
Rfam family: Bacterial small subunit ribosomal RNA
Source: RNAcentral